AUAAACCAUGCUAUGUCUAGCGUAUGUACAUGUACAUCAGUGAGCAUGCGCAUGUGUACUGCCUGUAGCUGCACAAGUUCGUACUUGUGUUCUGGUCAUUGUUUAGGUCGAGCCCGAGCGCUCGUGUGGCCACGUUCGAGGUGAGGUUGUGUUGGGCUGGCUUGUAGCAGAGUCUGCGAUCGUGUGUAGCGAUGGAGAAGGGAUGCAGCGGGUGCAGCAGAAGGGCGUUGGCGUCCAGGUCUUGCGGAUGAGCAGGAGGCUCACGAUCGAGGUAGACCGGAUCGUUAGGGCGUUCGUGCGCGUGAAGCU
Molecule: long non-coding RNA, 309 nt
Filed under: Hordeum vulgare
Lineage: Eukaryota; Viridiplantae; Streptophyta; Magnoliopsida; Poales; Poaceae
Description: long non-coding RNA (HVUL_LNC017481)
Source: RNAcentral